This 253-nucleotide ribosomal RNA is filed under the name uncultured bacterium. RNAcentral's name for it is "partial 16S ribosomal RNA". It matches the Rfam family "Bacterial small subunit ribosomal RNA", at positions 524 to 776 of the family's 1533-position model. The record is from RNAcentral.
CACGUAGGGUGCGAGCGUUGUCCGGAAUUAUUGGGCGUAAAGAGCUCGUAGGCGGUCUGUCGCGUCUGCCGUGAAAACUCAGGGCUUAACCCUGAGCUUGCAGUGGGUACGGGCAGACUAGAGUGCGGUAGGGGAGACUGGAAUUCCUGGUGUAGCGGUGAAAUGCGCAGAUAUCAGGAGGAACACCGGUGGCGAAGGCGGGUCUCUGGGCCGUAACUGACGCUGAGGAGCGAAAGCAUGGGGAGCGAACAGG